Non-coding RNA from Xylariaceae sp. FL1272, 96 nucleotides. The record is from the annotation of a GenBank genome assembly. Lineage: Eukaryota; Fungi; Ascomycota; Sordariomycetes; Xylariales; Xylariaceae.
GGUCGGUUAGCUCAGUCGGCAGAGCAUCGCAAUCACAUACCUCUUCACGAGGUUCGAUAGCUGCGAAGGUCAUAGGUUCAAGCCCUAUACUGACCA